RNAcentral lists this ribosomal RNA (439 nucleotides) under uncultured bacterium. RNAcentral describes it as "partial 16S ribosomal RNA". It matches the Rfam family "Bacterial small subunit ribosomal RNA", at positions 339 to 795 of the family's 1533-position model. The record is from RNAcentral.
CUACGGGGGGCAGCAGUGGGGAAUAUUGCACAAUGGGCGCAAGCCUGAUGCAGCAACGCCGCGUGAACGAAGAAGGUCUUCGGAUCGUAAAGUUCUUUUCUUAGGGAAGAAAAAUGACGGUACCUAAGGAAUAAGCACCGGCUAAAUACGUGCCAGCAGCCGCGGUAAUACGUAUGGUGCAAGCGUUAUCCGGAAUCACUGGGCGUAAAGGGAGCGUAGGCGGUUUUGCAAGUCAGAAGUGAAAGGCUACGGCUCAACCGUGGUAAGCUUUUGAAACUGCAAGACUAGAGUGCAGGAGAGGCAAGUGGAAUUCCUAGUGUAGAGGUGAAAUUCGUAGAUAUUAGGAGGAACACCAGUGGCGAAGGCGACUUGCUGGACUGUAACUGACGCUGAGGCUCGAAAGCGUGGGGAGCGAACAGGAUUAGAUACCCUGGUAGUC